GACAGAGGGUGCAAACGUUGUUCGGAAUUACUGGGCGUAAAGCGUGCGCAGGCGGUUGUGCAAGACAGAUGUGAAAUCCCCGGGCUCAACCUGGGAACUGCAUUUGUGACUGCACGGCUAGAGUGCGGCAGAGGGAGAUGGAAUUCCGCGUGUAGCAGUGAAAUGCGUAGAUAUGCGGAGGAACACCGAUGGCGAAGGCAAUCUCCUGGGCCUGCACUGACGCUCAUGCACGAAAGCGUGGGGAGCAAACAGG
RNAcentral lists this ribosomal RNA (253 nucleotides) under uncultured bacterium. Its description in RNAcentral is "partial 16S ribosomal RNA". It matches the Rfam family "Bacterial small subunit ribosomal RNA", at positions 524 to 776 of the family's 1533-position model. The record is from RNAcentral.